CCAUAUCACAUUGAAACGCAGGUUCCCGUACGAUCACCGAAGUUAAGCAACGUCAAGUCCAGUCAUUACCAAGAUGGGUGUCCGCUUGGGAAUACAAGAUGCUGUAAG
Molecule: non-coding RNA, 108 nt
Organism: Acanthosepion pharaonis
Lineage: Eukaryota; Metazoa; Mollusca; Cephalopoda; Sepiida; Sepiidae
Source: the annotation of a GenBank genome assembly